RNAcentral lists this transfer RNA (75 nucleotides) under Nanobdellota archaeon. Its description in RNAcentral is "tRNA-Glu". It matches the Rfam family "tRNA". From Rfam's summary of the family: Transfer RNA (tRNA) molecules are approximately 80 nucleotides in length. Their secondary structure includes four short double-helical elements and three loops (D, anti-codon, and T loops). Further hydrogen bonds mediate the characteristic L-shaped molecular structure. tRNAs have two regions of fundamental functional importance: the anti-codon, which is responsible for specific mRNA codon recognition, and the 3' end, to which the tRNAs corresponding amino acid is attached (by aminoacyl-tRNA synthetases). tRNAs cope with the degeneracy of the genetic code in two manners: having more than one tRNA (with a specific anti-codon) for a particular amino acid; and 'wobble' base-pairing, i.e. permitting non-standard base-pairing at the 3rd anti-codon position. The record is from RNAcentral. Lineage: Archaea; Nanobdellati; Nanobdellota.
GCUCCGGUAGUGUAGUCCGGUCAAUCAUUUUGCCCUUUCGAGGCAAAGACCCGGGUUCAAAUCCCGGCCGGAGCA